Sander lucioperca (pikeperch) is the source of this 349-nucleotide long non-coding RNA. RefSeq lists it as uncharacterized. NCBI's taxonomy places the organism in Eukaryota, Metazoa, Chordata, Actinopteri, Perciformes, Percidae. The record is from RefSeq and is a predicted model, not a curated record. The transcript has 3 exons.
GUUGUAUGGCAGGCACACAGCAUAUUUUGUACAUGCUGGUGUGUGACAGUGAAACUCACAUUCCCAGGACUGAUACUCCUUUAUUGCACGGAGUUGCCAUGGCUGUGCCUUGUGAUAUUGUUGAAAAGUAUUGCCCAGAUGAAAAAUGCAUACCACAAGCACGCUUCAAAGGUUGCCUCAUUAAGUGUGUGUGCAACAUCACUUGGACCCCAGAGUUGGCAGAGCUUCAACCCACCUACUCUUAUUCUCAAGAUAAACUCAAGAAAGCUGCUGUAAUCAUUCUGACUGGGCUAGUCCUAUGCUUCCUGCUGCUGAUUGUUGCAGUCAAAUGGAGAAGCCUAUUUAAAAA